GACGAACGCUGGCGGCGUGCUUAACACAUGCAAGUCGAACGGACCUUCGGGUUAGUGGCGAACGGGUGAGUAACACGUGGGUGAUCUGCCCUGCACUUUGGGAUAAGCCUGGGAAACUGGGUCUAAUACCGAAUAGGACCACGCGCUUCAUGGUGUGUGGUGGAAAGCUUUUGCGGUGUGGGAUGGGCCCGCGGCCUAGCAGCUUGUUGGUGGGGUAAUGGCCUACCAAGGCGACGACGGGUAGCCGGCCUGAGAGGGUGACCGGCCACAGUGGGACUGAGAUACGGCCCAGAGUCCUACGGGAGGCAGCAGUAGGGAAUAUUGCACAAUGGGCGCAAGCCUGAUGCAGCGACGCCGCGUGAGGGAUGACGGCCUUCGGGUUGUAAACCUCUUUCGCCAGGGACGAAGCGCAAGUGACGGUACCUGGAGAAGAAGGACCGGCCAACUACGUGCCAGCCGCCGCCGUAA
RNAcentral lists this ribosomal RNA (468 nucleotides) under uncultured bacterium. RNAcentral describes it as "partial 16S ribosomal RNA". It matches the Rfam family "Bacterial small subunit ribosomal RNA", at positions 28 to 523 of the family's 1533-position model. The record is from RNAcentral.